Alligator mississippiensis (American alligator) is the source of this 1147-nucleotide long non-coding RNA. RefSeq lists it as uncharacterized. The transcript is spliced from 2 exons. The record is from RefSeq and is a predicted model, not a curated record. NCBI's taxonomy places the organism in Eukaryota, Metazoa, Chordata, Crocodylia, Alligatoridae.
UUCCUGGUUAUUGUUUACUGCAGAACGGGGUGCAGGCCAGCAAGGAAAGGGGAUGUGGGAAGAGUGGAGAGGGAGAAGGGAAGCUGUGCAGCGCCCCAGAAAGAACUAGAUAGCAGCAGGGCUGGUGAAAGGGAGGGAGGAGCAAGGAGGAGAGGAGGGGGGUGCUCUUGGCGACACGCAGCAGGGAGGUUGCAAGCAGUUGCACUGGGGUCUGUGGAGGCUACUUAUUAGGUACUAGUCCCCCCUCCCCCUUCCCGCUACUCUGCUGUCCACAAGGAGAGCAGAUCAACUCUGCUCCGGGGAGUGCAGAUGUCAGAGGCCACCUCCCUGUCCCCACGUCUGGCCGGGUGUAGUGCCUUUUGUGGCUGAAGCUACUGCUGCAGCUGCCACUGCUGGCAAUGCCCACAUGUGCCUCCCAGUCAGGCCCGCAGGAGCUGCAGGGCCUGGCAGGGCAACAUAAAGAGGGGUUACAAUCAGUUGUCAAAAAGGCUAAAACUGGACUCUGCUUUUGGCCAAGAGGCAGCAACUGGGAACCUUGGUGAGAGCAAGUUCCAUGAAGAAACCCAACUGGCGAGGUUCCAAGAUGGAGCCAGAGGAAAGAAAUUUACAGCUACAACAGUAAAGCAGUUCCCCUGUGACUUAAGAUGUGAAAAUAUAUUACAAGAAAAAUGGGGCAAUCACUGGGGGAGGGAAGCAAGUAAAGCCAAAAUAACAAUCAGAGCAGGACUCUAUUUUUAACAGAGUCAGGCAAGGAGUCAAAAGGGGCAAAACGCAAUCCUCUUUAAAUAAAAACUAACAAAUAUAUCAGUAUUAAAGUUGUGCAUUUAAACAUAACCUUUGAUUCUCAUACCAGUGGUAACAGUAGUGCUAAAUGAAAGUGUGUUAGAGUAGGCAUUAGUGUUGUAUUGUUGUUCUGAUAGUGAACUAAUACUUGGAAGUUAGUUUUAUUGCAUGUGACAUGUUGUUUUAACUAAAGAUCUUUGCUUUUCAGUGUCAAUACUGUGAGGAAAUACCAUAUACUUGAACACUUUAUUUUAAAUUACGUAUAUGUGCAUUUUCAAUUAUCUUCACUUGUAUCUACCCUAGAUGUAAAUGAAGGUCAAAGAUAAUGCAACAUUUAAAAGGUAAAUAAAUCAAAUUCAGUCUA